CCAAUAGCGUAUAUUAAAGUUGUUGCAGUUAAAAAGCUCGUAGUUGAACUUCGGGGUCUACCCAUUGGUCAGGCUUAAUUGUCUGUACUGGUGAGAUGGAUCUCUACCUUCUGAGGAACUUUCAUGCCAUUUAUUUGGUGUGGUUGGAAAUCAGGACUGUUACUUUGAAAAAAUUAGAGUGUUUAAAGCAGACUAUCGUCUGAAUACAUUAGCAUGGAAUAAUGAAAUAGGACGGACUGAUUCUAUUUCGUUGGUUUCUAGGAUCACCGUAAUGAUUAAUUGGUAUAGUUGGGGGCAUUAGUAUUCAAUUGGCAGAGGUGAAAUUCUUGGAUUUAUUGAAGACUAACUACUGCGAAAGCAUUUGCCAAGGAUGUUUUCAUUAAUCAAGAACGAAAGUUAGGGGAUCGAAGACGAUCAGAUACCGUCGUAGUCUUAACCAUAAACUAUGCCGACUAGGGAUCGGACGAAGUUAAUUUUAUAAUGACGCGUUCGGCACCUUACA
This 502-nucleotide ribosomal RNA is filed under the name uncultured Glomeromycotina. RNAcentral describes it as "partial small subunit ribosomal RNA". It matches the Rfam family "Eukaryotic small subunit ribosomal RNA", at positions 591 to 1092 of the family's 1831-position model. The record is from RNAcentral. Lineage: Eukaryota; Fungi; Glomeromycota.